Molecule: long non-coding RNA, 1078 nt
Organism: Aegilops tauschii subsp. strangulata
Lineage: Eukaryota; Viridiplantae; Streptophyta; Magnoliopsida; Poales; Poaceae
Source: RefSeq, a predicted model, not a curated record
CAACACAACCGCCGCCUCUUCUCUUCUAUCGUCGCCAUCGCCUCGUCGGAUCUGGGGAGAAAGAGAGUGUGAGGCUCCUUCCUCUUUGCCUCUCUUGCACGCAACCUCCGCCGCUUCUCCUGCGCCUUGUCCUCCCCGUUCCUCUCUCAUAGCCGAGCUCCAACCCUCCACCAUCCCCUCCUCCUUGACCGCCUCUCCCCUUGUCUGAAGGAGCACGGGGCUCGCAGCUGCGCCUGAGCCGCCACAAGGCCGUCAGGUAGAGGAGAUCCGGUGCCCACGGGCCGUUCACGCCGCUGUCCGAGGUCUCGGAGUUGACAGAGUUGCCGUCGUCAUACGAAGACGAGUCGGCGGGGAGAUGCUGGUGUUGGGAUUCGGGAGGGUCCAAUCUGCAGCAAAUCCUUGGGAGAUAUGACGCAAAGCCAACAAAUUUAAUGUGAAGUCCAUAUCCUCUGUUUCUCUGUUGGAAUGCUCGACGGCUUGCUGGCUGCAGAAGAGCUUCCUGGGGAAUACCGGAACCGAUGCCAGGAUAUACUCUGUAACGACUGCGGAAGAAAAGGGCUUUCUCGGUUCCACUGGCUGUAUCACAAAUGAGGACGAGGUCGAGCCCCCUCCCGCCGCAAUCUCCUUUUGAGGCUAUUCAACUUCGCCGACGGCCUCGACUGGGCACUCAUGGCCGCUGGCACAGUCGCCGCCGCCGCCCACGAUGCAGCAUUCCUAGUCUACCUGCACUAAUGGUCCUUGAAUUUUCUCGACACUGAGCGGAUUUAGUCUGCUCUCCACGGUCGUAGCGACGAGCCCCUCAACCAAUUUAAGCAGGUAAACCGUUGCUUCGCAUGCUCGUCUCUUAAUUGCACGCUUGACAAGGCCUACAACGUGAUAUUUACUUGAGGAGGACCCUCUGCGGUGCUAGGUAGGUAUCCGGCCCUUGGAUUGCCUUUUUUUGCUAAUUGGUGGCAGACAUGCAGAUAUAGCUGAAAGCAGAUUCAGUUUGAGGUGGCAAUCAGUUGUAUAGCUGGUUAAACUAUGCAUUUAGAUGUAUGUUAGCUGCUUCAAAAUGAAGGGGACACAGUUUUUGAUA